CUAUUUUUUUGAAUAGGUCUUCCUAUUCC
Molecule: unclassified non-coding RNA, 29 nt
Filed under: Dictyostelium discoideum
Lineage: Eukaryota; Evosea; Eumycetozoa; Dictyosteliales; Dictyosteliaceae
Source: RNAcentral